CUGGACCCAUAAUUAUAUAUUUCUAUUUAUAAAUGAAUGCCAUGGGAUUUUAUCAUCAAUACUAUGGAUUUGUUAUCACCAUUAUUUCUGUGACCCAACUCAAGGUAUUUGAUAUUUUUAUUGUAAGUCACAGUCUCUAUUAGUGGAUUUUCUAGGUGUGUUGGAGCUCAGUGGCAGCCAGAUGAAUACAGGUUUGGAUCACCGACUGCAGUUCAAAAACCCUCAGAAUAUGUGUAUUGGGGUGACUGAAAUGAUCCUUUGAAGCAACCGGCUUUGACGUUUGGAAAAAAGAAUUAAAAACCAAAAGAAUGCUCUAAUUAAAGAAAACAUCAGUUAAAGCACAAGAAGAAACCUAAGAUUUUGAUCAGUUCUUUCAUGUGUGCCUGACAACUGCACAGCACUAGCAGAGGCCUCAUUAGAGGCUGCUCCCCCAAAAUCCAGAUGGAGGUGCAGAAACACCGCAUGUGAAUUGUUCCUGCCCUGCAGCUUUGCUGGGUGAUCCCCUGUGGCCUGCCUGUGGGUAUUAACGAGGCUCCAAAAGGAGGUUCCUGGUGCUCCUGCUGGUCCUGGAAGCUGCCACAAGCACAGGCUGGAAAGUCAAGCCAUGUCCCCGGAUCACUGGUGAUCAACGCUGGGUGGGACCUGCCUGCAAAUUCGGCAGCUGAAUCAAAGCAGGAACUGUGGGUCCCUGGCAUUCUGGACAAACAUCCUCAGCCCUCAGGUGCACUGUGUAUUCUCAAGGUAAACUCACUGACUGGGAUGAAAAACUUCAGCUCUUCCUGAAGAAUGCUUCACUCAAAAAUUACCCAAUGGUAAGUAACCUUAUGUUCAUUUUGAUGUUUUAGCUACUGCAGAUAUUUUGCAAAAUAUUUAUCAGCUAGAUGCUAUGGCAUCUAGUGAAAACUAAAUAUUUGGUGAAAACUAAAUAUUUCUCACACCAAGACACCAUAUUGGGAUGGUAUUUCACCUACCUAGCAUAAUCACAAAUUAAUCCAGCAAAGUGAGGCUCUGAUGCCAUAAGAGGUUCCUAACAGAAGUUUAGUUCCUCGAAAUACCAUCACCAUUUAAAGUCCUCCUAGCUGGAAUGCAAACUGGAUCAAAUACUUCCAGUAAAUGGUGAUGUCCAGCUGGCACUGGGAGACUGAAGAGACAUGAAGCAUGAGCAGUCCCUGAGACUGUGUGGGUUGAAACCCAUGGUACUGUGACAGAUAUAGUGGCAGUAACACGCAAACACAGCUGGCAUUUGAACUCGCUUAUUGGCACUGCCAUUCCCUCAAGCAGGACAGCUGAAGCAGGUAUGAGAGCAGCGCCCACCAAAUAGCCCAACUAAGCUACGAUUCGAUGUGGCUGAAAGUCAAGGUGGAACUGAUUUUAUAAAACUUCCUUUGGUUUAAACCCUUGCAAGGUGUACUUAAAAUUGCAUAGCUCAGAUCCAAGCUACCCCUCCCAGCCGCGGC
RNAcentral lists this long non-coding RNA (1457 nucleotides) under Zonotrichia albicollis (white-throated sparrow). RNAcentral's name for it is "lncRNA (ENSZALG00000011733.1)". Lineage: Eukaryota; Metazoa; Chordata; Aves; Passeriformes; Passerellidae. The record is from RNAcentral.